Molecule: long non-coding RNA, 882 nt
Organism: Hydra vulgaris (swiftwater hydra)
Lineage: Eukaryota; Metazoa; Cnidaria; Hydrozoa; Anthoathecata; Hydridae
Source: RefSeq, a predicted model, not a curated record
UCCCGAUUGCCAGUUUUAACAUUUGCGAGAAAAGUAAGCGUGUUUUAAAUUAAACUUCAUUACAACGGAAACCAUAUUGAAACAACUGUAAAGUUUUAGUAACUAAGUUUAUGACCAAACUACUAAUGUUUAUUCUAUAAAUGUCUGUCGAAAGAAACAAAGGGUUCUGGAAUAGAGUCGAGUUGGAACUGUCAACUUUUGAAAGACGUUGGUUUGCCGAUGUUAUUGAUAAAAGUGAUAAGGACUAUAAAGAACACUCCAAUAUGGAACAAUUAAUUGAAAAAAAUAUUGGAAAUCAACUAUGUCUAGCUGGGCCAUUGAUAGAUGGCUAUUUAAAGGAGAUAGGUAAAACUCUCUAUAGGAGACUGGCAAAAGGACAAGCCACGGGUUUAAUGCCAAUUAUUUCUAUGUAUAUUCCAUAGCAGAUCUAUAAAUCUAUUGCUGCAUUGUGUUCAGCAUACAGAGGAAAAAAGGAGAUAGUGAAAUGGAAGAGAAAAUAUGCUAUAAAAAAGUUGGUUAUUACAAUUGAUCAAAAGGCUACUAUAGAAAAAGUUUUUGAUCCAUGGAGAUUGCAAGGGAUUAACUAUUUACUGAAGCGAGUUUAUAAAAAAAAAAAAAGUGAUGUCAGUAACAAAACAAUACAUGAAUUUACUGGAAAAGCAAUUGUUCCAAUAACAUCAAAAACUCCCUUAAGGUUUGAGUAUUGUUUAAAUAAAAACAUUUUUUAUUAUAUUUAAAGAUAUGAUGCAAAUGGUUUUGCUAUUGAUGGAACAGUUUAAUCUUUAAUGAACCAGUAGUAGAGCAUCUGAGAAAAAUCUUUAACAUUAAAUUAACACAAAAAGUUGGACAUCUUUUAAUUUUAUUUACAAACAAAUAUCAAUC